CCCUUAGAUGUUCUGGGCCGCACGCGCGCUACACUGACGAAUGCAACGAGCUUAUAACCUUGGCCGAAAGGUCUGGGUAAUCUCCAAAUUUCGUCGUGAUGGGGAUAGAUUAUUGCAACUAUUAAUCUUCAACGAGGAAUACCUAGUAGGCGCAUGUCAUCAGCGUGCGUCGAUUACGUCCCUGCCCUUUGUACACACCGCCCGUCGCUCCUACCGAUUGAAUGAUCCGGUGAGUUUUUUGGACCGUGGCAACGGUCUUGGUUCGCCAAACUGAUACCGCGGGAAGAUACGCAAACCUUAUCAUUUAGAGGAAGGAGAAGUCGUAACA
Molecule: ribosomal RNA, 328 nt
Filed under: uncultured eukaryote
Lineage: Eukaryota
Description: partial 18S ribosomal RNA
Rfam family: Eukaryotic small subunit ribosomal RNA
Source: RNAcentral